GUGAAUCAUCGAAUCUUUGAACGCAUCUUGCGCUCCUUGGCAUUCCGAGGAGCAUGCCUGUUUGAGUGUCGUGAUACUGUCAAUUUCACUCUUUUUGUUUGAAAUUGGACUUGAAUGCUGUCGUGGAGUGCCUUACGACUCAUUCUAAAUGCAUUAGCGAUCUGCCUUUGAUCACACAAUGUGAUAAUCCAAAAGCAUUGUUUGUAUUCAAGUGGAGAUGGCUUCUAACUGUCGAAAGACAAAGUGAAUGUCAUUUGACCUCAAAUCAGGUAGGACUACCCGCUGAACUUAAGCAUAUCA
RNAcentral lists this unclassified non-coding RNA (300 nucleotides) under uncultured Geastrum. Its description in RNAcentral is "sequence contains 5.8S rRNA gene, ITS2". The stretch from base 1 to 71 matches the Rfam family "5.8S ribosomal RNA", at positions 84 to 154 of the family's 154-position model. The record is from RNAcentral. Lineage: Eukaryota; Fungi; Basidiomycota; Agaricomycetes; Geastrales; Geastraceae.